RNAcentral lists this unclassified non-coding RNA (323 nucleotides) under uncultured fungus. Its description in RNAcentral is "sequence contains ITS1". Lineage: Eukaryota; Fungi. The record is from RNAcentral.
UUAUUGUUUCCAUGAAUGGCCGUCUGACUGCUGUUACGUUCAGGUGAAUUCGAUGAGGACCUCCCCCACAUUCACCGAAGAGGUGGAUUUGCAGGGAAGCAACGUGGAAGGGGUACUCGGAGGGUUAUGUGAAGGUGAACGGGCCACCGUGCCUGUUUCUAUUUUGUUUUUUCUUGUUGUUUUUCGUCUGCCGCCGCUAGGACGGCGGCAUUUCGCAGGUAUUGGGUGGCCCGACAGGGGUGGUCACCGUGCAGGUUCCCUUCUUCCCUGAAGUUAUUCGUUUUUCAUUUAUAAUGAUCCUUCCGCAGGUUCACCUACGGAAA